This 782-nucleotide small RNA is filed under the name Pan troglodytes (chimpanzee). RNAcentral describes it as "processed transcript". Lineage: Eukaryota; Metazoa; Chordata; Mammalia; Primates; Hominidae. The record is from RNAcentral.
UGUGGAGACGGAGCCAUGUCGCCCAUUACCUAAUGAAACUGAGAAGGGAGACUCAGUCUCUCUUCUAGCCCCGAGCGCAAGCUCUGCGGGACUUGGCAUCGUCCUCCCUCCACGAUCCCACACUCCGGGUUUUCCCCAUUCCCAGCUCGGCUGCACCCGAGAGACAGACGGAAGAAACUGCCAAUGGAAGGACGCAAAGCGUCAACUUUGUGUUCGCCCGCCACUCUCGGCCAAUGUGCGCUCGUGUUUCCGGAGUCCCGCCUUCCGUGUCGGGCGCCCCCUUUUGGCAGCACAGGGACGAACCCUACGUCUCGCCAUCUUGUGUGUGGCACAGGACUUAAAGGAGAAGAAGGAAGUUGUGGAAGAGGCAGAAAAUGGAAGAGACGCCCCUGCUAACGGGAAUGCUAAUGAGGAAAAUGGGGAGCAGGAGGCUGACAAUGAGGUAGAUGAAGAAGAGGAAGAAGGUGGGGAGGAAGAGGAGGAGGAAGAAGAAGGUGAUGGUGAGGAAGAGGAUGGAGAUGAAGAUGAGGAAGCUGAGUCAGCUACGGGCAAGCGGGCAGCUGAAGAUGAUGAGGAUGAUGAUGUCGAUACCAAGAAGCAGAAGACCGACGAGGAUGACUAGACAGCAAAAAAGGAAAAGUUAAACUAAAAAAAAAGGCCGCCGUGACCUAUUCACCCUCCACUUCCCGUCUCAGAAUCUAAACGUGGUCACCUUCGAGUAGAGAGGCCCGCCCGCCCACCGUGGGCAGUGCCACCCGCAGAUGACACGCGCUCUCCACCAC